RNAcentral lists this ribosomal RNA (468 nucleotides) under uncultured bacterium. Its description in RNAcentral is "partial 16S ribosomal RNA". It matches the Rfam family "Bacterial small subunit ribosomal RNA", at positions 28 to 507 of the family's 1533-position model. The record is from RNAcentral.
GACGAACGCUGGCGGCGUGCUUAACACAUGCAAGUCGAACGGAAAGGCCCUGCUUUUGUGGGGUGCUCGAGUGGCGAACGGGGGAGUAACACGUGAGUUACCUGCCCCUGACUUUGGGGUAACUUCAGGAAACUGGGGCUAAUACCGGAUAGGAGCUCCUGCCGCCUGGUGGGGGUUGGAAAGUUUCGGCGGUUGGGGAUGGACUCGCGGCUUAUCAGCUUGUUGGUGGGGUAGUGGCUUACCAAGGCUUUGACGGGUAGCCGGCCUGAGAGGGUGACCGGCCACAUUGGGACUGAGAUACGGCCCAGACUCCUACGGGAGGCAGCAGUGGGGAAUAUUGCACAAUGGGCGGAAGCCUGAUGCAGCAACGCCGCGUGCGGGAUGACGGCCUUCGGGUUGUAAACCGCUUUCGCCUGUGACGAAGCGUGAGUGACGGUAAUGGGUAAAGAAGCACCGGCUAACUACGUG